This is a long non-coding RNA of Fukomys damarensis (Damara mole-rat), 2301 nucleotides long. RefSeq lists it as uncharacterized. The transcript is spliced from 4 exons. Lineage: Eukaryota; Metazoa; Chordata; Mammalia; Rodentia; Bathyergidae. The record is from RefSeq and is a predicted model, not a curated record.
GCUGACCCUGAAUCCACAGUGAGCCUCUUGCUUCAGCCUUUCAAGUGCUGGGAUUACAGGCUCGUGCCCAUGCUGGCUCUGGAGCUUCCCACUGUGCCACAGUCCUUGACAUCUGUUUGUACAUUGUAUUUUGAUUUUCUAAUUUAGUCCCCUGGUGGUAACUGUGUUUCCAAAUUUGUGGAGAGAAUUUCCAUUUUGUUUCUAUCCCCAGAACGUGUUAUGCUUCCCAACCACAUUAGAAGUCAUUAGUUUGACAUUUGCUGUCUGUGCUCAAGGGAGAGCUUAAACAAGAGCUGUCUCUUUCCUGCCCAGUCCUUUAACAGAAAAACCAAAAUAUCAGAAGCUGAGCACACAUGGGGAUAUUACUUGUUCCUCUUCCAUUUUUAUUCACUUAGGUCAGUAUUUUUCUUUGAGUCACCAUUAAGUGUCAGUUCUUUUGAUGGAUGAUGGGAUAUAGUGUUAAAAUUAAGUCCUUGUUCUUUAUUAGCUUAGAGCCGAGGGAAGGAGGAAACCAAUACAAAUUUCAGUACAUAUGAGGUCUGAAGGAGGUAUAGACAGAAAGAUACUACAGGGCAGCAGGGGGCAUGCUCAAGUGAGUUUCAAGGAAACCAAAGGGAAAACCAAAACUUCCCAGGUGAAGGAAGUGGCACCUGCGAGCUGAACGACAUCUUCCACAGGAGUGCUAGCAAGGGCAAGUUCUUGGAGAGCAGGAUGAGGCCAAAUGGAAGGACAGUGGAAUUCAGCGCUGCUGUGGUGUCAGGUGCAUGUGGGCAAGUGUGGAGGCCAGAAGACAGAUCAGGAAGUGUAGUAAUUAACGGUGUCAACUUCAAUAAGGAAUGCCCAAGUAGAUUGGAUCAGCAUAGUUCUGGGUGUGAGUGACAUCCACGAAUAGGCUUGUAGCCUGAAUGGCAUACAAUGAAGAAGGAAGGCUCAUUUCUGUUGUUUAGAGGAGCUCCAGUUUUCACUUUCACCUAGGACCGUGUCUGUUGUCUUCUGGUGCAGGCCGUUCAGCUUCCAUCACAGACCCUGUGGUCUCCCGAUAGAGACUGGAACGGAACACUACAGUGGACUCCAGGCCUUCGACUGGAUCCCUUGGAUCUCCAGUGCAUAGACAGCCUUUCUGCACUCUUCCACAGCUGACUCCAAACACUCACUGAGCAAAAGCAAGACAUGAGGGAAUGAGACCAUCAGAUCAGUUUUGGAGGUGCUGAGUGAACCAGCCCAAGAGAGCCAUCCAGAAACCAGUUAUGCCUAGAGCUGAGAGCCAAGAACAGCAGUGAGGUGACUGGAUCCAUGGGUUAUAAGGAAGAAGAGUAAAGUCAGGGCUCCCUCUCCCUUUCUCCCUUUAAAAACAGUAUUGGAGACUGAACCCAGGGCCAUGUGCACGCUAGAUGAUGAUGAAGCCAUUCUGUGAUUCAAGCAUGCUGAGAGGCUGAAGCAGGAGCAUCACAAGUUCAAGACCAGCCGGGGCAACUUAGCAAGACCCUGGCGCUCCGAGUGUUCAAGUCCCAGUGCGCCCCGCUGACCCCAAGGUCUCUGGUGGCUCCGAGUCUCUGGGUGACUGAAGCAUUGGCAGUCCGUUUACCGCCACCAUGGAAACAAAGGCGGGGUGUACAGAGCUGGACAUCCGUCAUCACUCGUCACUCGCGGCACUUCCGGCCAGGGCACCUUCCUCUGGACCACGUCAUGGAACCGAGCUAAGCUGCACACAUCUGGGGGUUAGGCCGUGAGGGUACCAAAGUGACACGCCCAGACUGGGACCUGGGAUUGGUCAACAGGGAGUGGGGCGGGGCCGACAGCGAAGUGGGCGGGACAGUGAUUCUCCUGCCUCAGCCUCCUGGCUAGGAUUACAGGGCAAUGUCAACACACCUGGCUCCAGCUUCUAUUUCUGAAGGAAUCAAUCUGUGGGCCUUGUUUGUGUGUUACGGAAAAUUAUGCAACCGCCACAAAUCCUCACUGCAGUAUCUGCAUGUAGUCUCUCACCAUUUUUAAUGCCUUUUAUAAUACUGUAUUUACUUUAAUGCUCAUUAAUUUCUAGUGCUACUUUAAACAUACAUUUCCUACAACCCAAUAUGUUCCAUGAGACCCUGAUCUUGCAAUCAAAAUUCUCAUAAGUACACUGGAUUUUGUUUUGUUUUUGUGGUGCUCAACAUCAAACCCCGGGUCUGUAGUCUGCCAGUCAAGUGCUUUAGGCUACAUACAUGUCCAGCCUUGUGCUGGUUUUUAAGAACAUAAACCAAUAAGAUUGGGAAGUGAAGAAAAUAUUUACCAUUUUAAAAAGAUGUAGUUAUGUGUAAAUAC